RNAcentral lists this unclassified non-coding RNA (225 nucleotides) under uncultured fungus. RNAcentral's name for it is "sequence contains ITS1, 5.8S rRNA gene". The stretch from base 177 to 225 matches the Rfam family "5.8S ribosomal RNA", at positions 1 to 49 of the family's 154-position model. Lineage: Eukaryota; Fungi. The record is from RNAcentral.
UCUCCGUAGGUGAACCUGCGGAGGGCUCAUUACUGAGUGAGGGCUCCGGCCCGACCUCCAACCCCAUGUGAACCGAAACCUGUUGCUUCGGGGGCGACCCUGCCUUCGUGCGAGGCGCCCCCGGAGGCUCAUCAAACACUGCAUCUUUGCGUCGGAGUCUUAAUGAAUUUAAGCAGAACUUUUAACAACGGAUCUCUUGGUUCUGGCAUCGAGGAAGAACGCAGC